RNAcentral lists this ribosomal RNA (239 nucleotides) under uncultured Bacillota bacterium. RNAcentral describes it as "uncultured Firmicutes bacterium partial 16S ribosomal RNA". It matches the Rfam family "Bacterial small subunit ribosomal RNA", at positions 97 to 334 of the family's 1533-position model. The record is from RNAcentral. Lineage: Bacteria; Bacillati; Bacillota.
GGCGGACGGGUGAGUAACGCGUGGGUAACCUGCCUUGUACAGGGGGGGAUAACAGUCAGAAAUGACUGCUAAUACCGCAUAAGCGCACAGGACCGCAUGGUCCGGUGUGAAAAACUCCGGUGGUAUAAGAUGGACCCGCGUUGGAUUAGCUAGUUGGUGAGGUAACGGCCCACCAAGGCGACGAUCCAUAGCCGGCCUGAGAGGGUGAACGGCCACAUUGGGACUGAGACACGGCCCAG